UCAGACAUAGAAGUCUGACAGAGGUAGCUUGUGUCUGCCAAGUGUCUUGGUUCAUAAUUGGGUCUUACUGGUGCAGUAAAAUUUAUAAAUGGUAUUCUGUAAAUUCCCCAUCAGAGGCAGGAAGCAGUGCAGUUUUCCCCCUGGCACCCAUCUAUGCAGAAGCAGAAGAGGAAUUAGCUCAACCAGAGAGUGCAACCAGAAGUUGCUGAAAGAUCUGGUGUUUCUGAUAGACUUUGAAUUUAAAUACUGAGAAGUCAAGGCAUUUUCACCCCUACCUCUUGCACUCUCUUGCAACGACUCUUCCCCUUAUGCUUUCAUGAUUGCAGUUACCUCCUUUUCCUGGUGUGUGCAGAGGAAAUCCUGUUACAGCAUAGUCAAUCCAUGGCUCUGCUGCAAAAACCCACCUCAGCGUGCUGCUUCGGCUGCAUCUCCCCUCUUUGUCAGUCCUGCUGCUGCUCCCCCUUCUCUCGUGCAUCAGACAUACCAGCCGCAGGCUUCACUUUCAAGUGUCCUCUAUGCUCUCCCUGUACAUGCUGUACCACCUGUCCUGCUUUACCAAGACAUACCCCCUGGGUUUAUUCAGCCCAUGCUCUCAGCAUCUGUCUCCCUCAAGCUACCGCUGUUGUAUUUCCUGAGCUUCCCUUGUGUUUACUUGUAGCUUCGUAUAGCCACCUUGUCCAUCAUGUAGUUAAUUUCUUUGAUAUGUCCCAGUGUGUUUGCUGUUGCUGUGAUGCCUUCAGUGGCUGUCUGGUGAGAUGCUGAGGCAAGUCCUCACCCAUGCUGCCACACAUCCCUGUCACUGGAAUUAGUCUGCCUCUGGAUUUGAACAUAACAGUGUCCUCUAAAAUCAGGACACCUGAGAGGUAAUGUCAAACAGACCACUCUAUCUAGCACCAGCAGAAGCUCUCCUUCCAUGGUCUACUUUAUACUCACUUGCUCUUUUUGGCAUUUCAAGGUGCAACCCUGCCCCCUUAUGCUGACACAUUACAUGGUUCACUGCAAGUCCCUUUGCAAUAGUGUUGUAUUUUCACCUAAGUUACUGCAGACUGUUUUGUAAACAGUGACUAGAUAUAAAUAUUACGCACACAAAUGCAAAUAUGAUAAUGCCACAGUCUCUUUGUCAAGGGAGGGCUUGCAGCCUGCAUUGGAAGGGAUGGUGUGAGGAUGGAGACCUUUUCUGUUGUAACACUGAAGGGAAAGAGAGCAUCAAAGGAUAAGGCCGUUUCCUUGUGUGUCUUGGUAAAGCAGGCUGAGUCAGGAAGCAGAGUUACACCGAGCAGAGUUGCUGUGAUAGCACAUCUGUGCCUAAAAUUCCCUUGGCAUUUAAGUUGACAGUAUGUAGUUGGUACCGAAUCUGUUUUUUUGGGGGGAGAAAAAAUUCCAAAACAAACUGAUGCUCUAACUGAGGCUUCGGUUUAAUAAAGUGUACACAUUUAUGUCCUAGCUUUACAUUGUGCCAGGAUUUCUAAGGAGGUUAAAAUGAAAUCUGCUUGACAUUUGAGACUUUGAUAUGGACCAUAUCCUUUGUUUUUAUAAAAUAUAUUGAAGUCUGUGUGUCAGCUGAAUUUUAGUGUAGGAAAUUGUUUUCUUAUUACUCUGGACACCACUUACUGGGUCACAACUUCAUUAGUUAAGAACUAAUAACCUCCUUUACUAGCAAAGUUAAGGGUCACUUAUUGUUCAGCAGAGCCCCUUGCUGAAGUCUGCAGGGAGGGCUCCUGAGAGCUCUUGGCAUGAUGUGCCCACAGGAGUGGACAUGUCCCCGUGGAGUUUGACAGACAGAAGUUCCCCGCUAUCUUCAUUUGUGUAGCCAGCUCCUCUGGCAUUGGUCAGGAUGCUGUGCCACAGCACUGGUGGGGACAGUGGAGACUUUAAAUCACUUCCAGAUUUAGCCACAUUUAGUCCUAAAACUGUAUUCCUGGUAGGUGAAGGGGACUGUGCCUGAUAUUUCAGAGGGAUUUUCCCUCUUUUUUCAUAGAGGGAUGCUGAACCUGAGAGUUUGAGCCCUGCAAGUUGUUAGCUUCAAAGAUGAGCGUGAUGGAGAAUGAAAGAAAAAUCAGAUAGCAGAGACUGCUUGCCCUGGGGCUUGAUAUGUUGUCUGGUAUGUUUCAUCUCUGAGUAAACGACAAUGAGGAGGAGCUGGAGCACUGCCCCACGAGAAGCCCGUGGGGCUUCGGGAAGAGUGAAUGUGGUGCACUGGCCAUUUCACCCAAGCGUGGAGCCCAGGGCUGGUCUGCUUGUGUCAGAUACCAAAGGGGGUUAUCAGGAGCCCACUUUAAGAGUCAGGCACAAGCUGGCAAAGCUUAAUUAACUUUUGUUUGUUAUGAGAGUAAUUGUAUCACCAUCAUGCCACACAGAUGUCACCUCCCAAGAGGCUAGUAAGUGUUGGGAUGCUCCACAGACCAACUUGCAGCCUUUGCAAGGAGAGGUAGCAGGAAUGGAAUGACUCAACCAUUAAAGGAGACAAGACAAGAGCAGCUGAAGUACUUUCAUAUCCUUGUUCCACUGAAGAAAAUGAGCUUUAACUGAUUUUUUUCCCCCUAUUUUUCUUUCUUUCCUUCCUUUCUUUUUGCCCUGUGAAAAAGUACAUGUCUAAUUAAGAAGCCAGUCCACCCUAUGCUAAAUUUUCUGUGGAAACAAGAAUUUUGCCUUUGGAGUUGGAAGAGAUAAAAAAAUAAGUCAUUCCUCAAAAUGCAGAAAUUAAGGAAUCCUGAUAGCCACCUCCCUCUUCCCUGACUAACCUUGCCCUGGACCUCCUUCCAGCCUGCUGUCUCCACAGGCACCUGCAGUCUGUUACUUUGGCAGUGACAUCUCAAUGGCUGUGUUUGACUGUAAAAGUCAAUUACUGAGACCUAAAGCUAUUAGGGGGAACCAAAUGGCUGUGUGAUCUUUUGUGUCACUUCUUCCUGAUCAUCUGCUGUCAUUAAACUUUAGGAGCUCAUCUGUCUUUGAGGUUUCUGCCUGGAGUUGAAUUUGUCUGAAAGUGGCCAACAGGAACAAAAGUUAUUCAGAGGGGGAAUAAAGCUGGGACUGGACACCAGGAAAUCACUGUGGUCAAGGAAAAGGGUGAUUUUGAGAUUUGCUGGGGGGUUUUUUAGCAACCUGUAAUUUUUCACAGGAAAUUUUGAACAAAAGUGGGACAUAAAUAUUAUUUAGCAAACCAACACAGGAAGGAGACUGAUUUCCCUGCUGACUGUAUGUCCUUUGGGUGAGAUUCAGACUCACACUUCCAUGGGAGGCAGGACCAUGGAGGUUCCUGUUUCCCCACCUGAAGUCCCAGAUAUUCAGCAGUGAGACUCUUUUCUCCUUGCCCAUUCACAUUCCCGUUCCUGAGAGAUGCAGGGAACAGAUCCCUGUGUAUCUUCUUGGCAACUGGAGUGAAUACAGUAUUUGGGCCAAAUCCUGCUGUGCCUGAACACGGUCAGCACGAGCCUCAGCUGUGGGCAGCUGCCUUAGCUGAGACUGUGAAAAGAGCUGCAAAGGGCAUUAAACUGGUGCAAAAAAGGAUGAAGGACCGUGGGAUACAACUGUGUAUGCCAAGGGGUCUCCUGUAGAUAAGCUUCUUGAUGUUCUGGUCCUAAUAUUUCUGUGUUCUUCAAAGGUAAUUAAAAGCUCAGACCCCUCCAUCUCACUGAAUAGUCUUUCUAUUUGAAUAUGAAUGCAUGCAGUUAAAGAGUCUUGAGGAUGUAUUGUGUUUUGAACUGCAUCUCUGGCAUGUUUAAUCACAUCAGGAUUUGAUAGGCUCUGUUCUUUUAGUCUUUCCAGGGAUUGGGGCAUUGUAUUGUAUGGAGGGCUAAAUGGGCAAGAGCAGUGCUCUGUGUAUCUGGGGGAGAAGGACUAAAGAAGAUCCCUCAGAGACAAAAGAGAGCUGGUGUUGAACAAAUGUAGCACACAAGAAUCUGCUAGUGAUCCUUGUGCAUAUGCAAUAUUCAGUUUGGGGAUUUGGGGGGCGUUUCUCAGCAUGCAGUCCCUUUAGAUUUGGGUGCGAUAAAUAACUACAUCCUGUGUGUUGGACCUUGGCUUGCAUCCUCAUAACUUCCUGCUUUUCCAAAGGAUACAAUCUUACAUUGUCUUGGGCUUGAGCACUAAAGGAUAAAUUUGAUCACUGGCUGAUUUGUCAUCUCUUCAUUGUGAUGGAAAAAGUCGCCUAAAACAAAUCCUUUGUUAUGCUGCUAAAACUGCUUUUGAAUCCAAGAUCUGUUGUGAUUUUUAAAACACAAACCCAAAAAUGUCAGAACCUGACCCUUCAUCUGGAUUUGUAGGAAACAUGGAAAAUGGGACUUUUCUGGAGCUGUAUCCUACAUCCCUUUCAACUUCAGUGGAUUCGUCACCUGGCCGCUUAUCCAACGUCUAUGUCUAUGUUUCUAUAUUCCUUAGUCUCUUAGCUUUUCUCCUUUUGCUAUUGAUCAUUGCACUUCAGAGGCUGAAAAACAUAAUUUCUUCCAGUUCCUCCUACCCAGAAUAUAAUAGUGAUGGUGGAAGUUCUUUCACUAAUUUAGAGGUUUGUAGUAUUUCUUCCCAGCGCUCUGCUCUCUCAAACCUUUCCUCAUGAAACUAAACGAAAGGAAACACAUAGGGAAUGGAAGAGCUUUGAGUUUCUUGGGGAGGUAGUGCAUGCAACAUUUGCCUUGGAAGACUAUUAAUGAAGAAGUGGCUUCUGAAGUUUCCUUAGGUUUGUUUGGUUUUGGUUUGUUUUUUAAUUUUUCUUUCCUUUUCUAGUCUUCAUCUCCCCUUUUACUAAUGUUCCUUUUCAUUUUGGACAAUGGAUAAUGACACUUGAUCAUCUUUUCAUGCCUGUAAUAGUGAUGCUGUCUUUUUCUCACACGUACAUGGUGUUCAUUAAGAGUACUCCUGCCAAAUUGUAAUACAGUUCUAACUGAUUGUGUCAUUUUUCUGUGCUAGUUGUGAUGGCUUCCCUGUUUUUUUAUCAGUAAUAAGCUGACUACUUUUCUUUUUCCUUUUUUAAUCAGAAAAGGACUUCUGGAUGAAAUCUCUGUUGCAAGUGUCAAAAAUCAGCUUAAAUUAUAAAUAUAGUCCUUGGGGCAAUUUAAAGGUGUUGGUAUUGCUUCUUUUAAAUUUUUUCACAUCUUUUUCAGUAGUUAUUGAUGUUCAUAAAACACAACAAAAAUCCAUUUAUUGAGGAAUGUUACUUCUGUUUAUUUGUACUCCUGACUCAUUCUGUAUAAAGUCUCUGUAUUUUAGUUUUUUAAUCUCUUUGGUUGACUUAGUAAAGCAAUGACAAUAAUGAUGCUCA
Molecule: RNA transcript, 5254 nt
Organism: Apus apus (common swift)
Lineage: Eukaryota; Metazoa; Chordata; Aves; Apodiformes; Apodidae
Gene: SERTM1
Gene name: serine rich and transmembrane domain containing 1
Exons: 4
Source: RefSeq, a predicted model, not a curated record